UCGAUCCUGCCGUGCCCGUGAUCGCUGAACUGGGUUUUGAGCCAACACUUAAUAAAACGGGGACUGUCUCUUCAGUGGGAAUGCGAUAGCCCUCGGGCAAGGCAAACCCUCUGAGCAGGUCCCCACCUGCGUUAGCAGGUUCAAAACAAGGCAGCACACGGCACGGCGGGGAGAG
RNAcentral lists this non-coding RNA (175 nucleotides) under Anaerolineae bacterium. RNAcentral describes it as "6S RNA". It matches the Rfam family "6S / SsrS RNA". From Rfam's summary of the family: E. coli 6S RNA was the first non coding RNA to be sequenced, but its function was unknown until recently. It consists of 184 nucleotides that fold into an extended hairpin structure with a large single-stranded internal bulge. The 6S RNA specifically associates with RNA polymerase holoenzyme containing the sigma70 specificity factor. Lineage: Bacteria; Bacillati; Chloroflexota; Anaerolineae. The record is from RNAcentral. RNAcentral also lists the same sequence under 1 other name.